UUAAAUGGUUGAGCUUAUCAAGAAUGGCCCU
This 31-nucleotide non-coding RNA is filed under the name Rattus norvegicus (Norway rat). The record is from RNAcentral. Lineage: Eukaryota; Metazoa; Chordata; Mammalia; Rodentia; Muridae.